Molecule: ribosomal RNA, 1528 nt
Filed under: Shigella flexneri CCH060
Lineage: Bacteria; Pseudomonadati; Pseudomonadota; Gammaproteobacteria; Enterobacterales; Enterobacteriaceae
Description: bacterial SSU rRNA
Rfam family: Bacterial small subunit ribosomal RNA
Source: RNAcentral
GAGUUUGAUCAUGGCUCAGAUUGAACGCUGGCGGCAGGCCUAACACAUGCAAGUCGAACGGUGACAGGAAGCAGCUUGCUGCUUCGCUGACGAGUGGCGGACGGGUGAGUAAUGUCUGGGAAACUGCCUGAUGGAGGGGGAUAACUACUGGAAACGGUAGCUAAUACCGCAUAAUGUCGCAAGACCAAAGAGGGGGACCUUCGGGCCUCUUGCCAUCGGAUGUGCCCAGAUGGGAUUAGCUUGUUGGUGGGGUAACGGCUCACCAAGGCGACGAUCCCUAGCUGGUCUGAGAGGAUGACCAGCCACACUGGAACUGAGACACGGUCCAGACUCCUACGGGAGGCAGCAGUGGGGAAUAUUGCACAAUGGGCGCAAGCCUGAUGCAGCCAUGCCGCGUGUAUGAAGAAGGCCUUCGGGUUGUAAAGUACUUUCAGCGGGGAGGAAGGGAGUAAAGUUAAUACCUUUGCUCAUUGACGUUACCCGCAGAAGAAGCACCGGCUAACUCCGUGCCAGCAGCCGCGGUAAUACGGAGGGUGCAAGCGUUAAUCGGAAUUACUGGGCGUAAAGCGCACGCAGGCGGUUUGUUAAGUCAGAUGUGAAAUCCCCGGGCUCAACCUGGGAACUGCAUCUGAUACUGGCAAGCUUGAGUCUCGUAGAGGGGGGUAGAAUUCCAGGUGUAGCGGUGAAAUGCGUAGAGAUCUGGAGGAAUACCGGUGGCGAAGGCGGCCCCCUGGACGAAGACUGACGCUCAGGUGCGAAAGCGUGGGGAGCAAACAGGAUUAGAUACCCUGGUAGUCCACGCCGUAAACGAUGUCGACUUGGAGGUUGUGCCCUUGAGGCGUGGCUUCCGGAGCUAACGCGUUAAGUCGACCGCCUGGGGAGUACGGCCGCAAGGUUAAAACUCAAAUGAAUUGACGGGGGCCCGCACAAGCGGUGGAGCAUGUGGUUUAAUUCGAUGCAACGCGAAGAACCUUACCUGGUCUUGACAUCCACGGAAGUUUUCAGAGAUGAGAAUGUGCCUUCGGGAACCGUGAGACAGGUGCUGCAUGGCUGUCGUCAGCUCGUGUUGUGAAAUGUUGGGUUAAGUCCCGCAACGAGCGCAACCCUUAUCCUUUGUUGCCAGCGGUCCGGCCGGGAACUCAAAGGAGACUGCCAGUGAUAAACUGGAGGAAGGUGGGGAUGACGUCAAGUCAUCAUGGCCCUUACGACCAGGGCUACACACGUGCUACAAUGGCGCAUACAAAGAGAAGCGACCUCGCAAGAGCAAGCGGACCUCAUAAAGUGCGUCGUAGUCCGGAUUGGAGUCUGCAACUCGACUCCAUGAAGUCGGAAUCGCUAGUAAUCGUGGAUCAGAAUGCCACGGUGAAUACGUUCCCGGGCCUUGUACACACCGCCCGUCACACCAUGGGAGUGGGUUGCAAAAGAAGUAGGUAGCUUAACCUUCGGGAGGGCGCUUACCACUUUGUGAUUCAUGACUGGGGUGAAGUCGUAACAAGGUAACCGUAGGGGAACCUGCGGUUGGAUCACC